This 253-nucleotide ribosomal RNA is filed under the name uncultured bacterium. Its description in RNAcentral is "partial 16S ribosomal RNA". It matches the Rfam family "Bacterial small subunit ribosomal RNA", at positions 524 to 776 of the family's 1533-position model. The record is from RNAcentral.
UACAGAGGGGGCAAGCGUUAUUCGGAAUUAUUGGGCGUAAAGGGCGCGUAGGCGGCUUUGCAAGUGACGGGUGAAAUCCCUCGGCUUAACCGAGGAACUGCCUGUCAAACUGCAUGGCUUGAGACCAGGAGAGGUGAGUGGAAUUCCCAGUGUAGCGGUGAAAUGCGUAGAUAUUGGGAGGAACACCAGUGGCGAAGGCGGCUCACUGGACUGGUACUGACGCUGAGGCGCGAAAGCGUGGGAAGCAAACAGG